Molecule: ribosomal RNA, 356 nt
Filed under: uncultured fungus
Lineage: Eukaryota; Fungi
Description: eukaryotic LSU rRNA
Rfam family: 5.8S ribosomal RNA (bases 1-71)
Source: RNAcentral
GUGAGUCAUCGAAUCUUUGAACGCACAUUGCACCCUCUGGUAUUCCGGAGGGUAUGCCUGUUUGAGUGUCAUUAAUCUCUCAACACAGACAGGUUUUACUACUUGUUCUGUUGUUUGGAUGUUGAAGGCUUGCUGGCAGUAAUGUUAGCUCCUUUUAAAUGCAUUAGCAGAAAGCAUGCAGAACUGGCUUCAGUUUGAUAAAAGACUUAUCUGUGUUGCUGUCGCCAGGAUAAUGCUAGUUAUUUCAGCUUAUAAUAGUCCAUCUAGGACUGUCUCAUUGAGGCAUACAAACUUGACACUUGACCUCAAAUCAGGUAGGACUACCCGCUGAACUUAAGCAUAUCAAUAAGCGGAGG